Molecule: ribosomal RNA, 303 nt
Filed under: uncultured bacterium
Lineage: Bacteria
Description: partial 16S ribosomal RNA
Rfam family: Bacterial small subunit ribosomal RNA
Source: RNAcentral
AGCAGUAGCCACGGUAAUACAGAGGGUGCAAGCGUUAAUCGGAAUUACUGGGCGUAAAGCGCGCGUAGGUGGUUUGUUAAGUUGGAUGUGAAAUCCCCGGGCUCAACCUGGGAACUGCAUUCAAAACUGACUGACUAGAGUAUGGUAGAGGGUGGUGGAAUUUCCUGUGUAGCGGUGAAAUGCGUAGAUAUAGGAAGGAACACCAGUGGCGAAGGCGACCACCUGGACUAAUACUGACACUGAGGUGCGAAAGCGUGGGGAGCAAACAGGAUUAGAUACCCCGGUAGUCCCUGUCUCUUAUAC